This 379-nucleotide ribosomal RNA is filed under the name uncultured bacterium. RNAcentral describes it as "partial 16S ribosomal RNA". It matches the Rfam family "Bacterial small subunit ribosomal RNA", at positions 338 to 734 of the family's 1533-position model. The record is from RNAcentral.
CCUACGGGAGGCAGCAGUGGGGAAUAUUGCACAAUGGGGGCAACCCUGAUGCAGCGACGCCGCGUGAGUGAUGAAGUAUUUCGGUAUGUAAAGCUCUAUCAGCAGGGAAGAUAAUGUCGGGUCCUGACUAAGAAGCUCCGGCUAAAUACGUGCCAGCAGCCGCGGUAAUACGUAUGGAGCAAGCGUUAUCCGGAUUUACUGGGUGUACAGUGAUCGCAGACGGCAGGGCAAGUCUGAUGUGAAAGUCCGGGGCUCAACCCGGGGACUGCAUUGGAAACUGUCCGGCUAGAGUGCAGGAGAGGUAAGUAGAAUUCCUGGUGUAGCGGUGAAAUGCGUAGAGAUCAGGAGGAACACCAGUGGCGAAGGCGGCUCACUGGAC